This 689-nucleotide ribosomal RNA is filed under the name Lactobacillus amylovorus. RNAcentral describes it as "bacterial SSU rRNA". It matches the Rfam family "Bacterial small subunit ribosomal RNA", at positions 61 to 717 of the family's 1533-position model. Lineage: Bacteria; Bacillati; Bacillota; Bacilli; Lactobacillales; Lactobacillaceae. The record is from RNAcentral.
GUCGAGCGAGCGGAACCAACAGAUUUACUUCGGUAAUGACGUUGGGAAAGCGAGCGGCGGAUGGGUGAGUAACACGUGGGGAACCUGCCCCUAAGUCUGGGAUACCAUUUGGAAACAGGUGCUAAUACCGGAUAAUAAAGCAGAUCGCAUGAUCAGCUUUUGAAAGGCGGCGUAAGCUGUCGCUAAGGGAUGGCCCCGCGGUGCAUUAGCUAGUUGGUAAGGUAACGGCUUACCAAGGCGACGAUGCAUAGCCGAGUUGAGAGACUGAUCGGCCACAUUGGGACUGAGACACGGCCCAAACUCCUACGGGAGGCAGCAGUAGGGAAUCUUCCACAAUGGACGCAAGUCUGAUGGAGCAACGCCGCGUGAGUGAAGAAGGUUUUCGGAUCGUAAAGCUCUGUUGUUGGUGAAGAAGGAUAGAGGUAGUAACUGGCCUUUAUUUGACGGUAAUCAACCAGAAAGUCACGGCUAACUACGUGCCAGCAGCCGCGGUAAUACGUAGGUGGCAAGCGUUGUCCGGAUUUAUUGGGCGUAAAGCGAGCGCAGGCGGAAAAAUAAGUCUAAUGUGAAAGCCCUCGGCUUAACCGAGGAACUGCAUCGGAAACUGUUUUUCUUGAGUGCAGAAGAGGAGAGUGGAACUCCAUGUGUAGCGGUGGAAUGCGUAGAUAUAUGGAAGAACACCAGUGGCG